UGUACCUCUCAAAUAGCUUCCCCAUUUUGACUAAGAAUGAAGAACUUCUUGGACAAAGAACUUGUAAAAAUCAGGUUCAUGGUCUUUCUUUUGCCCUCAAGUGAGAGGUGAAGCCAGCUGGACUUCCUGGGUCAAGUGUGGACUUGGAGAACUCUUCUGUCUAGCUAGAGGAUUGUAAAUUAUUCGUGAGCCUUUAUUGGUUUUGUUCCAUUGAAUGGUCCAGAGUUUCUGCUCUCCUGGAGAAUCAUUCACCCCAUUACCCCAGAAGAUGGACAUUUGGUGAAUCAUAAUAGACGGAGACUCUACUUUGUGUGUGACAUGCUGAGACUACUGGGACCCUGAUAGCCCUACUCCU
This 355-nucleotide long non-coding RNA is filed under the name Homo sapiens (human). RNAcentral describes it as "HSALNT0209643". Lineage: Eukaryota; Metazoa; Chordata; Mammalia; Primates; Hominidae. The record is from RNAcentral.